This 2708-nucleotide long non-coding RNA is filed under the name Chinchilla lanigera (long-tailed chinchilla). RNAcentral describes it as "lncRNA (ENSCLAG00000022719.1)". The record is from RNAcentral. Lineage: Eukaryota; Metazoa; Chordata; Mammalia; Rodentia; Chinchillidae.
GAGCUAACGUAUUAGAAUUCCAGUAACUUUCCCAUGGGAUUACAUAUGUGGAUUUCCCUGGACUUCAAAGAGAUCCAGAAGGGCUUUCUGUAGUGAAGAACAGAGGGCGUCUACUGAGGUCAGGGUUUACUAGGGAAUGUAUUUAAUACAGGACACUUAAUUUAUAGGAUUAUUUUAUAAUAGUCACCCAGAGUCAAAUGCAGAAGAGUGCAGGAGAUCUGUCCACACGCUAGAGACCCAGAGACUCCGGCUGAGGGCCUGGAGCCCAGGCAAUGUCCUGCAGGAUCCAGCUGGAGGCCCAGAGCCCACAGCAAUGUCUCAUGCGGGCCUGUUCCACGGAUCUGUGCUGGGAAGGCCCAGAGGUCGGUGGUAGAAGGUAGAAAGUCGGUGCCAGCGGGAUGAGGGAUCCGGGGCAGCGGGCUGCGGGACCUGCACUGCAGCCAGGAAGCGACACUCCAGGGGAGGACCGGAGCUGCCCCGGAGAGAACCGCAGCCGUCCUAGGCGACAGCGAGGACCCGAGCUCCUCCGACAUGGGAACAGCUGAGUUCAUGUCAGGACAGCCAGCGUGACACGCUUCUCCAGGAGAACCAACAGCACCAUCUUCCCCUCCAGCUCUGCUUUUAUGCCGUCGGCAACAAUCCUCAGGCGGGCCGUCCACACCCAGCAGCACGCCGGCUCGGCUCAGCCGGGUGUGACGAGCUGAUCAUUAGUUACUCCACCGCGAGCCUGCGAGCUCACGCUCUAGAGCAGCAAGUCCGGCCUGAGCUGCGAGUGCUGAGCUCCAAGCGCACAUCCCAUCUCGGGGGCCGAGGGCGGGCAGUGGGCGCCAGGCACUGUGACAGCGGCCAGGUCCAUCCCGGUCCUCCAGCAGGGCAGGUCUUGCAGUCGGCGGUGGUCUACUGUCCAAGGGUGAGCGGGCUGCGGGUCUCAGAACCGCACGCAGAGAGCGUAGGGGGACCGACACUGCCCGCACCACUGCCCCGGGCAGCCCGAGCCUCCAAAAAGGGCGGGACAGACUCGGCCCACAGGCCGUGUGCAGCUGCGGACAGGGCCUUGAAGGGGUGAGACGCUGUCGCCGCCAGGGUCGCUGUGGGCGCUGGGAAGAGGAGGCGCAGGCGCACAGGGGCCCGCGGCCGGCGUCCUUCCGUCCCCAUGGCGACCGCUGGAGCGGUUGUCGCGUGCGCGUGAGGAAAGGUUAAAAAGCGCUUUCUCUCUCUCUGUGUGUGUGUGUGUGUGUGUGUGUGUGUUUGGUUUUUCUCCGGUACCGGGAACCGAACUCACGACCUUGCGCUUGCCAGGCAGGCGUAAAAAGCACUUUCUGAUUCGGUUCUGCAGCGUCGCGGCGGGGGCAGCACGCGGCUCCAUCACCAGGCUGAGAGAUUUCUCCUGGGCACAAGUCUAGUGACGGCGCGGAUACACAGCUGUGUUCUCGAAAAUCGCAUAAGGAGGCUUCAGGAGUUUCUCCCCAGACCGGUGGUCACCUCCCACCUGCCCUAGGGCAGUGCAGCAGGCUCUUGGACAGUCACAGGUCCAGAGUGUGAGUGCCAGCCCUUUGCUCGUGGUAUUUUUUGGUUUUUGUUAUUUGAGACAGAAUCUCAUUGUGUAAUUCAGGCUGGCCUUGAACUCACUAUGUAGCUUUGAACUCCCAGGGAUUCUCCUGCCUCAGCCUCCUGAUCGCUGGGAUUACAAGCAUGAGUCACCACAUCGGGCAUCCCUCAGCCCUUUUAAAUAAAUUAAUUAGGUUUUUUGAGACAGGACUUGGAUAUGUAGUUUAGGCUGGCCUCAAACUCAUCCUCCUGGCGCAACCUCCCAAGUGCUGGGAUUACAGGGCCCAGGAGAAAUUAUUCUCAUAUUCUCCCCUGAGCCUUGGCACUCAGGCUACAUCCCCAGUCCCCUGUUACUUUUUUUUUUUUUUUUUUUGAGAUAGGGUCUCACUAAGGUCACUAAAUUGCCCAGGCUGGGCUCAAACUCGAGACCCUCCUGUCUCAGCCUCCCCUGGCCUACGAUAUCAUUGCUAGCUGAGAAACGGUUCAUGGCACGGAAUUUUCUGAACCUUGUGGCCCUUCCUCCACCCCUUCCGCUCCUGGCCAUGCACAAUAGUACACUCCAGUUGGAGGGUGGGGAAGCUGCUCAGAGCUGAUACGACCCUGCCCGCCUUGCCCUUCCUGAGCAAUCAGCUUGCCCAGGCUUCGCCUGCCUUUAGGGGUGCAGUUCCCCAGUAGCCCACUGGGCGGUGCUGCUCCUCUGUCCGUCGCGGAAGCCGGAGAGUCAGACGUGCCUUUUGGUCCAGUGGGAAGGGCUAGUGUUUCUAAGCGGUGAAGGCGGGUGCUCCUGUUUCCCGUGAGAGCUGUGUGUGAAAGCCUUCGCAGUGAAGUCACUUCUCAUCCGAAUAGCACUUGGAAUGUGGCAGGAAGUGUGCUGUGAGGGCUAUACAGCUAAAUAGCUGAAGAAUUUUAAAAUGCCAUACUUCAGGCAAAAGUGGCAGUGUGCACCUGUACUCCCGGCUUCUCAGGAGGCUGAAGCAGGAGGAUUGCGUGAGCCCUAAUUUUGAGGCCACCCUGCUGAGCAGUACAGAGAGAGAGAUAGCAUCAAAAUACCUCCAACUAUUAUCACCACCACCACUGCCACGAAGACCAACUUUUUCUUUGGUGGUGGUACUGGGGAUUGAAUCUAGGGGCUCGCAUAAGCUUAACAAGCGCAUUAUGCC